UGGCGAACGGGUGAGUAACGCGUGAGGAACCUGCCUCAAAGAGGGGGACAACAGUUGGAAACGACUGCUAAUACCGCAUAAGCCCACGGGUCGGCAUCGACCUGAGGGAAAAGGAGCAAUCCGCUUUGAGAUGGCCUCGCGUCCGAUUAGCUAGUUGGUGAGGUAACGGCCCACCAAGGCGACGACCGGUAGCCGGACUGAGAGGUUGAACGGCCACAUUGGGACUGAGACACGGCCCAG
This 240-nucleotide ribosomal RNA is filed under the name uncultured bacterium. RNAcentral's name for it is "partial 16S ribosomal RNA". It matches the Rfam family "Bacterial small subunit ribosomal RNA", at positions 96 to 334 of the family's 1533-position model. The record is from RNAcentral.